RNAcentral lists this small RNA (580 nucleotides) under Pan troglodytes (chimpanzee). Its description in RNAcentral is "processed transcript". The record is from RNAcentral. Lineage: Eukaryota; Metazoa; Chordata; Mammalia; Primates; Hominidae.
GUGGAAGAAUUUUAGGAGAAGGGGCAGACAUGGCAAGUGAGAGUGGCAGGCAACACACUACCUUUUCAGCAGAAUCAAGUCGAAGCCUUUUGAUCUGUCUACUUUGGGUUCUCAAAAAUGCAGAUGAAACAGUUCUACAGAAGUGGUUUACAGAUCUCUCAGUCUUGCAGCUAAACCGGCUAUUGGAUCUACUUUAUCUCUGUGUGUCUUGCUUUGAGUAUAAAGGGAAAAAAGUGUUUGAACGAAUGAAUAGCUUGACCUUUAAGAAAUCAAAAGACAUGAGAGCAAAGCUUGAAGAAGCUAUUCUUGGGAGCAUAGGUGCCAGGCAAGAAAUGGUACGGCGAAGCCGAGGACAGCUCGAGAGAAGCCCAUCUGGAAGUGCCUUUGGAAGUCAAGAAAAUUUGAGGUGGAGAAAAGAUAUGACUCACUGGCGUCAAAACACAGAGAAGCUUGACAAAUCAAGAGCAGAGAUUGAACACGAAGCACUGAUUGAUGGAAACCUGGCUACAGAAGCAAACCUAAUCAUUUUAGAUACAUUAGAGAUUGUUGUUCAGACCGUUUCUGUAACGGAAUCCAAAGA